This is an unclassified non-coding RNA of Stylophora pistillata, 2000 nucleotides long. NCBI's taxonomy places the organism in Eukaryota, Metazoa, Cnidaria, Anthozoa, Scleractinia, Pocilloporidae. The record is from RefSeq and is a predicted model, not a curated record.
GUUUUGAGAAGUGAGAAUUAAAUCUAAAUUAAAAAGCCCAAAUAAGAAUGCAUCCAGAAGCAGCCGACGUUCUUCCAGGAAUCGGUCAGCUGAAGGGUUCUGAAGGUGGGAAGAAAGGUCUAAUUCAAGAGAAAGACCCACUCCUGGUGGAGAAGGCAACACUACCUACAGGUGUUUUUGCUGUCCAUGUGUUUGGCUGCCGCAACUUGUACUUUGAAGAAAACUUUCCCCCCGAACACUUUGGAAUUUAUGUCCAAAUAACAGUUGGCUCAGUUAUCAAAUGCACUUCAUUACAGUUACCUUUCAAAAAAGGUUGUGUGGUCUGGGAUGAGAUUAAGAAUUUCUCUGUUACAGUCUCUCCCAAAGCAACAAGUUCAGUAAAUGAAGUUAACAUUGCUGUCCUGGGGUUUGACAGAUUGCAGCCAAUCCCAAAACACAAACUUCUUGGUAAAACUGAGUUUCACAUGAUCAAGCUUGCUAAGAAACAAUGGUCUAUGGAGACAUUUGAGUUACAGAACAGAAAAAAACAGUAUGCUGGAGAUAUCCAAUUAGAGCUUGCCUUUGCAUAUGGCUUUUAUGGUUAUGGCUUGUGUGAUCAGCUGGAAACCCAUCAUCCACCCAGAUAUUAUUUACAACAAAGUGCAUUUCCACACUUGGAACUUGUCCCGCGGGGUUCAGGCAACAAUGCAGGAAUUAAAUUUGCUCCAAAGAAAGUGCCACAUCCAAGUGUGAUCACUUUCAAAGAAAAAAUAAUGGACUUGGAGCCAGAGUUUAGCCCAUAUUAUACUAAAACAAACUUUAUGCAAAUGGACAACAAAACAAGACCCCGACUGCAGCAAAAUAUGACAAAAUUGAGUCAGAUGUAUUCUGAGUAUUCCCAAUUGACUUCAAGAAGUAAGAGAAUCGACUAUUUGAGAAUGCUCCUUCAGGAGAAGGAUGUACAUGGUGCUGUAACUGGAGACCAAGAGAGUGACUCUGACUCAGCAGAAGAAAAUCUUGGUGAUGUAACUCAGUUUGGUCUAACAGAAGCACUUGCCCAGAUGGCAAACUUGACAUUCAUGGCAGUAGGACCUGAACUGAUACAAGAGGCUGAGAAAGAGACGUCUCAUGAUCCACCGACUGUUCAUGAAGCAUCAGAGGUUCUUAUACUGGGAGAGCCUUUGAUAUCCACCCUACCUUAUUGCUAAGGGAGGAGAGGGUAGAUGAAUAACUGUUGUUAAAUAAGUUUCUACUGAAAUCUGUUUUAUGUGUCUUUCAGCCAGAAGACCAGCUCAGUAAAGGUAAUUAGUAUCAAAAGCAAAACGUUUUAAACUGUAUAAAAACAAAAAUAAAAAAGAAUAUUUUGAGUAUUUCAGUUUAAUGUGCUUAUUAAACAACAUUUUGAAAGGUAAUAAUUUUAUUAGUUACAAUUUUUCAGUAUUGCGUAGUAUUCUGAAACAAGUAAAACCAGUUUUGGGUUCCAAUGAUGGUGGUAAAACUUCUGGAGACUAUCCAUAAACAUGAACUGACUGCCAGAUGGACGCACCACUAGAUGGUGAUACACGAGAUAAAGAUGAAGCCAACAUCAUGGCUGCCGUCUCUCGUGGUCGCUCAGCUGUUGAUGCGCGUAGGCCAUUAGUGAAAACAAGGAAACCGAACAACUGUUAACAAACGAACUACAUCCUGAUACAGCCAGUUCACUGUUUCGUCGUUGUCCUUCGCGGUAACCUCUGGCUUUCCUCCUUUUCACAGUAUUUUUCUUCUACGGCUUAGAAGACGGCAUGGAUAUGUUGCUAUUAGGUGAACACUAAAAAGCAAACCAUUCAGGUCGAAUUAUUGUAUUUGUUUGUUUUUUCAAAGACGUUUUUUAAAGUAGAAGAAUCAUUUUACAAUUGCUGUUGCCUUUUUUUGUAUGUUUAACUACUUGAAUAGUUAAAUUUGGCUUCUUAUUUUACAUUUCUUCAGUUCCAUUGUGGUCUGUUCAGUUUUACAACCGCUUUUAGCACUCGAGUUUCCUAGUU